CUCUCUCUCUCUCUCUCUCAAAAAUAAAGAUUAAAAAAAAACACUUAUGAACUCCUGAAAUAUAAAAGCAGUUUUCAGAAGCAUAUACUAGGGUGAUCAGUGAAGGCUUUGAAGAGUAGAAAUAUGUCACAUUAGGACAAAAUUCUGUAGGGUAAAUGGAAGAGAGCUUCAAGUUCGCUGAAGACAGAGUAGCAAUCUAUAGUUUCUUUCUCGGAAGGAAGAGCUUAUUCCUAUUUUUAAAAGGAAAGUGGUGAGUUUCAUAGAGCUAUGGUAUUUGGAUGUCACUGGAUAUUUUUAAAAAAUGAUGUGACAGUUUUAUUUUUCACGGUUGAUAUUUGCAACAUCAGAGAUGAUAUCGUUUGUAAUUACUUCAACUUAUUAUAAGCAUUUUAGAUUCAGACUAAAAAGUCUGAAUGGAGAGGUCAUUUUCCAAAAUUAUUUUCCAGGUUAUAAGAACAACAAAAAAAAUGUUGAUGACUCUUGUUACAGGGAACUGGUAUUUCAGCAAUAUCCAAUAAUAAAUGUAACAGCUAGUUCUGCAUGAAUGGUUUUCUAAGCGUCACCCAGCUCUGUGAAAAUAGCACGAUGUAAAAUGUAUGUGUGCAUAUGCCUGUGUGAGAAAAAGAGCAUGAGAAAGGUUUCAGCUGACGAAGACAAGGUAGUCUGAGAACAUGUCCCCAGAGCCCAUGAGGUCAAAGCCUAGACUGUGCAGAGAUUAGCCCUCCAGCCACAUGUGGAUAUUUAAAUGUAAGUUACUUAAUAAUUCACUGAAAUUAAAUGCAUAGUUCUUCUCCAACACCAUUGUGUUUCAAGGGCUCCUUACACGUGCCUAGCGACUGCCCCAUCAUACCCUCAGGAGAGAACAUUUUCUCACUGAUGUUACUGGUGUUGGACUCCGGUUAUCUGGAGGAAUGGGUGGAUGGCAUAAAUAUCACUUUUCUCAGAUGGACUUGACCUUGGGUUUAGCAGCAGUACACAUCUACUUUUCUCUGAUGAGGUCUGGAGGGUAUAAUAGAGUCAGUAUCCUGUGUUGCAGACUAGAGGGUGAUUGAUGAACAUCUGAGCAUAUGGUGGGGUUGACAGACUUUAAGGAGAAUGCAACAAACUGAUAUUUGAACUGAUCUGGAAGCUAUAUUUUAGCCAAGAUGUUAAAAAUUGAGUUUUACUUUGGGUCUUAUCUUUCUAGAAUGGUCUAUUUUUGAAUAUAUCCUUUUUCUGUAGAAUCAGAAAAGUCCAAGCAUUAAACUUCAGUACCUGUCCUCUUUAUAUAUGAUGCAAUGCUCACAAUAAAAAUGCAGUAAAGAUCAUUGAUAGAGCCCUCUUAUCUAAGUGUAGAGGCUUUGAUUUGUCACAAAAUCAUUUUCCUUGAUUGAAUUCUGUCUUAGGUUAAAGAUGCUGUGAUGUGUUCCAAUUUGACACAAAUUGUACUCAUUUAUUAUCAGAGAAUUUCUUAAAACUUUCCAUGAGUUAUUAUGAAAAUUAGUUAUUUCUGAAUAUUUAGAAAUGAAGUCUCUCAUUUUGAAAGGCGCAAAUGAAUUUAAUUAAUUGAGCAUAUUAACAGUGAUUAGAAUGAAAACCUUUUACAAGUCAGAUGAAAGCAAAUCCAAGCAGCUUUUAGAUGAAUACAUUUCAGGAAUCAGAAAUAUCAUUUAAAAUAGAAAAUACAGAAUUAAUCCAGAAAUUAGAGACCAGAAAACCUGUUUGACACACUCUCCAGAAAAAUUGCUUUUGGGGAGAUAAAUAUCUAACUGUACCCAAAGGGGGCAUUGUGAUCGAGAGUUAUUAGGGUCAAAACUUUUCUCAAGUGGACAAUAAAUCUUGAGUUUUUCAUUGAGUUAAAAUGCCAAUAAAUAUUUUGCUACAAAAAUGCUAACAACACACUAUCGUCAUAUUUUCAUAUUUUCUUAUAAUGAUUUUCAGGGAAGACUGCUAUUUCCCUUACCAUAGUUUUGAAAGAAAUAAAAUCUAUGGAGAUAUUGGGAUAAGGAAUUCAUCAUGGCCAAUUUGGAUGCACCUUUCUUUGUUCUUUUCUUUCUUUCUAUGUGUCUCCUUUGAGAGAAGGUGACUUUGCUCACGUAUCUGAUUUAACUGUUGACUUUUAGUUGAGAAGAAGCACCUGUUAAUUUUGUAAAAAGAAAAAAACAGUUCUCCACAGGUGGCUCAAUGGCCUCCAGGAGUCCAGAUUGACCCCUGAUGUGCACAAGGACUCCCCUGGGAGGUGUCCCUUGAUUCCCAGGUUGGCUGAAAGAGCAGAGAAAGGUCUGUGAUUUAAAAUUUCACAGUAUAUGAACCAUGCCUAAGAUGUAAUCUUCACUCCUCCGGUGAGAAAAGAUGCCAUGGGCGAGCUGUGCUGUGCUGCACAAGGGUCCACGUUAAUGUGUGUGCGCACGCCUGUGCACCGGGUUAGCAAGGAAAAUGGGAUGGAGCAGAAAUCUCUGUCUCUGUAGGUCUGUUUGUUUGCUUGCUUGUUUCCUUGUUCCUCUUGGGGGGUGAGUUCAGGGAAAGGAUAGCUGUACUCUCUGCAGUCAGCCCUCCCUUGCCAACUUAUGUCAGUCGUACCCACAGACACCAUUUUACCAACAAUACUGAGUUAGUCUAACAUCAGAGAAACAAUUUGGAGCAAUAAACACUGAGAGCUUCUGGUUGCUCCUAAAAUACCCAGAUUGGAGCCAGUGGCCAAGUCCCAAAACCCUGUAGGGACCUGCUGUUCUCUAUAAACCGAGCAUUGCAACCUGGGGAUCAUGCACGUGGUGCAGGGGCACAGCACACAGAAGGGGUUUUGUUGAAUGUCAGGGUCAGGUCUCAUGCACCCCCAUCCCACCUCUUUCCAUCUUUGCUGGCCUCCUAUAACCCACCUUGAUGGCUUCAUUUGGAGUCCUGAGUUUCUUAACCCCAUGCAGUGCAGAGGAAACCAAAAAUAAUUCUGGUUUCCAAUAAUGUGGCAUGUUCUGCUGCCAUGUCCCCAAAGUGGGGGGCCAAUUGUGAUCAUUCUGCUCAAAUGUAACCUUGAAGCCUUAAGUAGAAGGGAAAGGCUCUCCCUGGCGGAACUCUGAGCUCUGUUUAUCAUUGAACAGCCUCAAGAAAGACCCUGAGGAGCCCACGUACAUCAACAGAUAGACCCUGCACUCGAAGCCUUGGCAGCCUUUGGAAGAGGCAAGAUCACAAAACUGUUAACAGAUCUGGAGCAGAAGUAUGUGAAUGGCCAGUCGGAAUGAGCCCAGAAAGUAGGCUGAAAAGCUGCUGCAAUUUUCUUAGAACUUUCCUGCAUCUUGGGAAACCUUUCAAUGCCAGGCACGUUCGGGCAUCUGGUCACCCUACCAGAAGGAAAGAAUAUUUUGUCCCAUGUGAGAAAUCAUGAAAAGGGUGCCCCCAAAAGAAUGUUCUUAGAAAAGACAGGACACCUGAGCCCGGUACAGUCCUCUAGCUCUGCCAGACACCCAGCAUUGCUGAGUGGGCUCAUGAGCAAAGCAACUUUGUGACAGGGCUGGGGACUUGCCCUGAGCUCAGGAACCAGAUUUCCAUGCCUGGUCUGCCCCCUGUCACUCGUUUGUCAGGGGGGAGAACCCAAUGUCUAAGUACCAUUAUGAUGUCUUACUCCAGGGAACCAGAAUUCUGUUGGCAUGCUGGUGACAUCGGGCCACUUCUAGAACAGAAGUAGUGGUUGUCGCUCACUGAAAUAAGCACUGAUUCUGACAGAAGCUGGCAUGAAGCUCUAGGGAUCCUAGGUCUGUGGGUGUCGCCAGCAUUGCACUAUUCCAGGGGGUGCACACUAAGAGAUCCUUCCGGAGGCAGGUCAGCUGAUCUGUUUGAAUCUCUUCCUUUACCAUGAAACAGAACUCAGGCAAUCCAUCCGACACAAAGCAGAUAGUCGCGAAUCAAAGGCAGCUCCUAUGUCUUCUUUAAUAUGGAUCUCCAGGCUAAAAAUUCAGAAUAACGGUAACUCCUUCAAUUUUCUCUACCACUAUAGCUACCAUUACCUGAGCAUCUUAUAAUUGUCAGCAUCCCACCUUUUAAUUGCUGAUGGCCAGAAUGGAAACCACUCUCCACGCCAACUUGACGGAAGCCUAGUGGAAACAGUAGUCACCUAUACUCUGGCUCUCACACUGUCUUCUUGUUGGGUUAUAAAACCCCUCUGACUUCCGAAGCAGGUGACUGUGACAAAAAUAAAUGAAUGGUAAUGCACAUCCGGUUGUCUUCCCUUUACAAACAGCCGCUGUAUGCUUCACACACAACCUGGAUCGCGGUGGGGGUGAGGGUUGGGGGGGGGGCUUAUCUAUUACGAAGCCUGGACGGGAGUUACUCUUCUGUAAUGCUGGUCCCCAUCUCAUCCUCUUACCUUUCUUCCAAGGUUGGUUUACUGAAUUACCCAAACCAGUCACGCUGAUUUAAAAGUACAUUGGUUUGUAUUUUGAUACCUGAAAUAACUUCUUUUUUAUGGUUCACCAUUUACCUUCAUUCUUAUGGAGGUAGCCGUCCUCGGGAAAAUGUGUGUAUGUCAAACUCACAGUUUCCUUUGGGAGCGCUUAUGUCAAAUGGGCUUGCUAAAUUAGUCACAGGUCACGGGUAAUCAUAAAGUAUUAGAUGUAUGUAAUUAGAUUAGAAAGGAGGUCAUCGAGUACAACCCUCAUAUUUGGCAGAGCGAAGAAGUAAGGUCCAAGAGAUGAAGGGCUGAGAGUCAUUUACCGCGUUAGAAAACAAUCUGCACUGGAAGCAAGAACCACUGAUCUCAAUUUCUGUCUCCUAUUGUACAACCUCUUGGUUCAUUCCCUGUCGACUCAGAGGGGAGCUUAAGAGGGGGGGCGGUCACUGGGCCACUGAGUGGUUGCCACUGAAUCCUUGCAGUUGUUUUAAAUCCCGCAUCUUGUUUUAAAUCUGUUUUUAUGUUCUCGGACUGAAGGGGUUGAUGUGAAAUUUUGAGAAGUAAAAGCCACUUGUUUGACAAAAUAAAAAUCCCAGUGAAAUCCCCAGCAAAAUAACCUUGCGUGUGCAUUGGGAUGUGGAACACAAAAGGAAAAUCUAGUCUCCCCAGUCAUUAAAAGUAAUCGAGGGACUUUUUAUUACUGUAGAAAAAGGAGGAAAAAUCUCUACAUCUUUUGGCACCAAAGGCAAAGAAAUACUAGAAUUGGGCCAUUGCCAUUGAAUGGGCAGUGCAGAAAUUUGAGUAGGGUCACACCUGUGCUUUCCUGUGCGGGGACCGGGCAGGCGUGCGUACCUCCAGCUCAGGGACUGGCAAACCAUCAUGUGACUGUCCCAGCCUCUGUCUUGUCUAACUGGCCUCUUGGGUUUCCAAUCCAUGACUCUUCUGGGCGACAGGGGGCAGCCUUAUCAUCGCUUAGCCUCUACCUUUCUCUAAAUAAUCUUAUUAAAUUAGUAUUGUCCAGGAGAAUACACGAUUAUGCCAGCCUAUCUGGACCAUUGAAAUUUUAUCCCCACGAUUUGAAGUAAAAGAAUGGUGCCCUUCAUUCAGUACCUGCGCUUUUUUGUUGUUGUUGUUUUUUAAGUGUAACAUUGAGUGUAUGUAACAAGCUGAAGUCAGUAUGUCACUAACAGAAGACAACUGGACCAUUCCUUGUGAUCACCUUCACGAACGCUCUCUGGAGACUCAAAUGAAAUUUUUCAGCAAAGGAGACACCUUAUCCAACCAGUACCUUAACAUCCCCCCAACUUCUCCUUCUGUAAAUGACAAACUUUACCACCAGCCUCUGCACCAAAGAUCUCUUUCUUGGUAGGAAGCCCUUUUAUGUAGGUACUUUUCAAAAGAUCUCGUGGCUAAUGUCCUUCUAAAGGUUUCUACAUCUGGCUUACGGAAAAUAUCUGUAGGGGGCGCCUGGGUGGCUCAGUUGGUUGAGUGUCCGACUGUUGGUUUUGGCUCAGGUCAUGAUCUCACAAUUCGUGGGUUCACGCCCCUUGUUGGGCUCUGCGCUGACAGGAGCCUGCUUGGGGUUCUCUCUCUCUCUCUUUCUCUCUCUCUCUGACCCACCACCCUCGUGCUCUGCCUCUCUCAAAAAUAAAUAAACAUUAAAAAAGAGAAAAUAUCUGUAUAUUCUUGGAUGGUCAGCUCAUGCCCAAAGUCAUAUUCUUAACUUUGCUUCCCCUGCCACAGCCUAUCUGCUUUUAGACCAUUAUUAUGUCACACAAUUACCAGUAUCUGUGUUGUUCAAAUUCUACUAGACCAAUAUGGAGCCAUCUGAACAGACCUUAUACACAACAGGAGCUUAGCCCCUAGGACCAAGGUCAAUCAGCCAUCAAACUCAGCAGAAGAGAAGAUCAAAAAGAAAAAAAAAAUUACUACUCUCUAAAACUGUCACCUCUGACCCUUGUCUGCAGCACAAAAGAAAAAAGGAGGCUGAUUGAAAAGAGCAAAACCGCCUCAGCUUCUGCUGCAUAUUUACCAUGUUCUUUAUUUCAAACGCAAUAAAAUCCAAUAAAUAAUAGGAGAUAGGUUUAAUGAAUUUCUUAGAGGCGCUUAUAUUUUCCAACCAGCUUACGCUGCGACUGUUUAAUUAUGACAAAACUUGAGUCCAACCCUAUUAGAAAACUCUGAGAAUAAAGCAUGCCUCUCCAUUUUU
Long non-coding RNA from Felis catus (domestic cat), 6569 nucleotides. RefSeq lists it as uncharacterized. The transcript has 3 exons. Lineage: Eukaryota; Metazoa; Chordata; Mammalia; Carnivora; Felidae. The record is from RefSeq and is a predicted model, not a curated record.